Long non-coding RNA from Falco peregrinus (peregrine falcon), 2378 nucleotides. RefSeq lists it as uncharacterized. The record is from RefSeq and is a predicted model, not a curated record. NCBI's taxonomy places the organism in Eukaryota, Metazoa, Chordata, Aves, Falconiformes, Falconidae. The transcript is spliced from 3 exons.
GCUACCACUUGCCGGAGGAGGGCUCGGUGCUGCUCGCAGGGACGAGCAGCUGCUCAGCCCUGUACCUGGAGCUGCUCCCUGAGCUGCACCAGUGUAUCUCUGAUCCCAGAAAGUUGGGGUGACACCCCCCUAUAAAGCUGAUCACAGGUUUGGCUGAAGAUUUAUUGCCAGCGGGAAGAAAGUAAGCAACCCAAAAUGCAACCAAGCCCAUCUCUAAUGCACCCAGAGGGGUCUGGGUGUGCAGCAGGGGAACAGAUGCAAACAGGCUCUGUGCUGGGGUGCGUUUUUGGCUGCACACCCCAAAACCAGCACAGAGGCUCCCUGUCUCCAGUCCCACAAAUUCUUUAGGUGGUGCCGUUAAUAUCCGGUGUACUGAAUAGUACUGCAGAUUAUUUGCACUGCUGCAUGUCAUAACACUGACUUUCCUCAGAAAAUGGCCAAUUUCUUCCUAUUUAUCCCCUACCCCAAUUUUGCCCUGCAGACAAAAGCACAGGCACAUGGCUGCUGGAGUCUGUCCGGGAGGACAGGGGAGGGAGGAUAGGAGGAGCACUGUGUGCUCAAACACAGCCUGUACACAUUUUCUACCACUCUUAUUUCCCCAACUAUCUCUAUAAUUUUAAACAAAAUGGGUCACAGGGAAUCUCCACUCUUGGUCUAAAGUGGGUCAGGCUCAAUUACCACCAGUCAUUUUCUUGGAGAGGAGAAGAAAGAGAAACCUGCCCCAGUUCCCCUGCACCCCUCAUUCCCCCCUCCCUGGGAGAAGACCCCAUUCCCCCCACACCGCUGCUGCGGGUCCUGAUAACAGCCGAUGCCUUUCCCUCUGAUGCCGACGAGCAAUCGUCUGGGGAAAACCAGAGUCAUAAAACCCAUCCCUCACCCUUAAUUGAAGGUCCCCCAGCAUGAGCUGCCGCCUGCUGCCCGUUGAGGAUCCAUCCAACGCUUUGGAGCCAACAGCUGCGGCUGUGCCAGGAGCAGAGGCUCUGCUGUAACAGGGCAGAGGGCGAGGACCAGGGGUUCGAUGUGCUCAUGCGCUGCCCAUGCCCUGCCUGGCACCCUGGGGAGAUGCUCUUAGCAGAUGAACCAAGUGUAAACUAAAUGCUGACAUGAAGGAGCAACAGGGAAGAAGUUUUGCACCCAGACAAGGUUUAGCAGUGGCCGAGCAGUUCCCACCAACUCUCUGCUGCAGGAGACAAGGCUUUGUGCAUGGAAUGAUUCUGCAGUGGUGCCUUCAGGUGCCCAAGCAGCUUCAGAGCGAGUCUGCAAUUAGUGCUGGAACAACUAGCACUGGGAUUAUUUUGCAAUUAGUGUUGGAACAACCAGCACUGGGAUUUUUCCCUUGCAAAAGCACCAGGUGACUUCUGCAAGCAGGCAGCUGAGAAGAGCUUUUAGGUUAAGCCCUGUGCCUUGGGAGCACAAUUGAGAAAAUAAUUUCUUCCUAACUAAGGGCUUGCUCAGAGCCCCCCACAGAAUUCCUACUGCCAUCAGGGUUUGUUCUGGGGGCACAGAACAGACCCGAGUCUCACAGCUCUGGCCACCCAGUGCAAACCCACACAGAGCACCUAGAUCCUCCCAAAUUCCCCCUAAGAAAUAAAUAGUCCUGCUCAUUUUCCAAAGUUUGCUUUGAUAAAGGAGGAGGUCACUGAGGAACACCAGCACCUUGAGGUAGUCACCAAGCAGCCCUCACGCAGCUGUUCUCAUUACCUGUGUGAUGGAACAGGGAAGGGAGCCCCUUGCAACACCCAGUUCCAUCAGCUGGCAGGACACAAACACACCACAGCAUUAUUUAUCAGCAAACACAGGCACAUCUCUCCUUGUAGAUCAGCCUUAUGGGCUUUUCUAAGCAGAAACCCCCCAAGGAAGGGAACAGAGCAAAGGAGAGGGGACACCCAUGCCCCCCCACAAUGGGGAGGAACCAGCAAGGCAAGGGGAGCAGCAAUGCCACCUCUCCAGCUGCAAAGGCAAAGAGCAACUGAUGCCCCUCAGCACUUGCAGCAUCCCUGCCAGCCAUCACCUAAACUCACCAGAAAGGUUACUGAACCCUAAAGAAAUAGUUAUCUCCCUGCAGCUUUGGAAGCAGGUAAUUUAUGCUUAAUAGCAAGCUGUUACAAAAAUCUGCUAGCGGCCAUCCACUCUGAUACAGCUCUCCCCAGGCUCAGACAGCUAUAGCUUAGCAGCAACCUACUCAAAGCAUUUCUAAGGGAUGCAAUGUACAUCUAAGAUGAAAUGCAAGAAAUAUGCUGGCCUAACAGCUCCAGCAGCAGCUAUAAGCAAAAAAGGAACAACCAAGUAGCUCAGCCCCUUCACCUCCCUUCAGCAAACACAUACAACCCAAGCAGACAGGUUACAUAGCCUACAAGGUACAUGACCUGCUGCUCUAA